RNAcentral lists this ribosomal RNA (274 nucleotides) under uncultured bacterium. Its description in RNAcentral is "partial 16S ribosomal RNA". It matches the Rfam family "Bacterial small subunit ribosomal RNA", at positions 523 to 796 of the family's 1533-position model. The record is from RNAcentral.
AUACAGAGGGUGCGAGCGUUAAUCGGAAUUACUGGGCGUAAAGCGCGCGUAGGCGGCUUAUUAAGUCAGAUGUGAAAUCCCCGGGCUCAACCUGGGAACUGCAUCUGAUACUGGUAAGCUAGAGUUUGGGAGAGGGAAGUAGAAUUUCAGGUGUAGCGGUGAAAUGCAUAGAGAUCUGAAGGGAUACCAGUGGCGAAGGCGACUUCCUGGCCUAAAACUGACGCUGAGGUGCGAAAGCGUGGGUAGCAAACGGGAUUAGAAACCCCAGUAGUCC